ACAGAGGCGGCAAGCGUUGUUCGGAAUUAUUGGGCGUAAAGAGCACGUAGGCGGCCUUGCAAGUCAGUUGUGAAAGUUUUUCGUUUAACGGAAGGACGGUAUCUGAUACUACAGGGCUUGAGUACGGGAGGGGAGAGUGGAACUUCUGGUGGAGCGGUGAAAUGCGUAGAUAUUAGAAGGAACGCUGGCGGCGAAAGCGACUCUCUGGUCCGAAACUGACGCUGAGUGUGCGAAAGCUAGGGGAGCAAACGG
This 252-nucleotide ribosomal RNA is filed under the name uncultured prokaryote. RNAcentral's name for it is "partial 16S ribosomal RNA". It matches the Rfam family "Bacterial small subunit ribosomal RNA", at positions 525 to 775 of the family's 1533-position model. The record is from RNAcentral.